Molecule: ribosomal RNA, 484 nt
Filed under: uncultured bacterium
Lineage: Bacteria
Description: partial 16S ribosomal RNA
Rfam family: Bacterial small subunit ribosomal RNA
Source: RNAcentral
AGUGAACGCUGGCGGCGUGCUUAACACAUGCAAGUCGAACGAGAACGGGUUAUAGCUUGCUAUAAUUGUCAGCUAAGUGGCGCACGGGUGAGUAAUGUAUAGGUAAUAUGCCUCUUACUAAGGGAUAACAAAUGGAAACGUUUGCUAAUACCUUAUACUCCUUAUUAACAGAAGUUAAUAAGGGAAAGAUUUAUUGGUAAGAGAUUAGCCUGUAUUGUAUCAGUUAGUUGGUGGGGUAAUGGCUUACCAAGACUAUGACACAUAACUGGUUUGAGAGGAUGAUCAGUCACACUGGAACUGAGACACGGUCCAGACUCCUACGGGAGGCAGCAGUGGGGAAUAUUGCACAAUGGACGAAAGUCUGAUGCAGCAACGCCACGUGGAGGAUGACACAUUUCGGUGCGUAAACUCCUUUUAUAUGAGAAGAUAAUGACGGUAUUAUAUGAAUAAGCACCGGCUAACUACGUGCCAGCAGCCGCAGUAA